AUUGCAAACACGAAGCUCUUCCAGAAACGCCCUCACAGACACCCCGGAAGUCACGUACCCACUCUGUAGGUGCCCCGGGGCACAGGCAAGCGGACGAGCCAGUUAUCCCUCAGAGCUCCUGCUGCCUCGCCCGCUUUCUCUCGGAAACGUGAAGUGUGGCCUCAGCUGAAAGUGAGGUGGGCCUCAUUCAAUCAGUUGAAUUCUUCAAGAGAGAAAAACUGAAGUCCCUUAGAAGGAAAGAGUUCUGCCUUCAGACUGUCUUUGAACUUAAGACUGUAGCGUCGACUCCUGCCGGAAUUUCCAGCCUGCUGGCCAGCUCUGCAGAUUCACACUUGCCAGCCUCCACAAUCGCAGCUGAGGCGGAGGAACCCUAAGGGCUCAUUGAGAUCAUGGAUUUGCCCUUCUAUGCAUUGAUGGAGCACCUGCUGCCCACAGCGUCUGUAUUUGGUGCUGGGAUGCUGAGGACACUGAGAUCUUCAAACAGAGGCUGCCACUCUAAGCAAACAGAUCCCGAGCCCUGGACUCUGAAGCUUGGGCCCAGUUCUCCUUUUCUCCGGGUUUCAGAUCCCACUGUGAAGUGAGGGGGCCCUUCUGAUUCAGGACCCGGGGAAGCCAGGGGCAUGAGCAUCGGUGCCUCUUCUCUAUUUCAAGGACCCUUCUGGGUGUAAAGUUCUCUGAGAUGCCUUACAUGGAUUCCCACCACUGCAAGAUAACCAUCGUAUGAGGCUUCAGGCUUGACCAAAUCUGACUGGCUGGCUGCCGGAGACACUGCUACCCAUCGGCCCUUAAUAAAUGGCCUCAUUUGAUCAUCAUGUGAUCUUCAGAAGCUGGGCUUGAUUAUCCUUGCCAAACAAAAUGCUGAAACCAAAAAUCUGAAAGGUCCUUUGGAAGAUGAGGAUGAAGCUCUUGUGAAUGGAAUUCGUGACCUUAUAGAAGAAGCCCAAGAGAGCUGCCUUG
Molecule: long non-coding RNA, 957 nt
Filed under: Homo sapiens (human)
Lineage: Eukaryota; Metazoa; Chordata; Mammalia; Primates; Hominidae
Description: epigenetically induced MYC interacting lncRNA 1
Source: RNAcentral